This 469-nucleotide ribosomal RNA is filed under the name [Eubacterium] saphenum. RNAcentral's name for it is "bacterial SSU rRNA". It matches the Rfam family "Bacterial small subunit ribosomal RNA", at positions 28 to 497 of the family's 1533-position model. The record is from RNAcentral. Lineage: Bacteria; Bacillati; Bacillota; Clostridia; Peptostreptococcales; Anaerovoracaceae.
GAUGAACGCUGGCGGCGUGCUUAACACAUGCAAGUCGAGCGAGAAACUACAUGCAGACACUUCGGUAGAAGCGAGUAGCGGAAAGCGGCGGACGGGUGAGUAACGCGUAGGCAACCUGCCCUUCACAGAGGUAUAGCCUCGGGAAACCGGGAUUAAAACCACAUAAAAUCAUAGGUUCGCAUGAACCAAAGGUCAAAGAUUUAUCGGUGAAGGAUGGGCCUGCGUCUGAUUAGCUGGUUGGUAGGGUAAAAGCCUACCAAGGCGACGAUCAGUAGCCGACCUGAGAGGGUGAUCGGCCACAUUGGAACUGAGACACGGUCCAAACUCCUACGGGAGGCAGCAGUGGGGGAUAUUGCACAAUGGGGGAAACCCUGAUGCAGCAACGCCGCGUGAGGUAUGAAGGCCUUUGGGUUGUAAGCCUCUGUCCUAGGGGAAGAAAAAAAUGACGGACCCGAGGAGAAGCCCCGCA